Transfer RNA from Pelodiscus sinensis (Chinese soft-shelled turtle), 73 nucleotides. It matches the Rfam family "tRNA". Rfam says of the family: Transfer RNA (tRNA) molecules are approximately 80 nucleotides in length. Their secondary structure includes four short double-helical elements and three loops (D, anti-codon, and T loops). NCBI's taxonomy places the organism in Eukaryota, Metazoa, Chordata, Testudines, Trionychidae. The record is from Rfam.
GGGGGUGUAGCUCAGUGGUAGAGUACUUGACUGCAGAUCAAGUGGUCCUUAGUUCAAUUCCUAAGUGCCCCCU